RNAcentral lists this ribosomal RNA (211 nucleotides) under Clostridium sp. MCC328. Its description in RNAcentral is "partial 23S ribosomal RNA". It matches the Rfam family "Bacterial large subunit ribosomal RNA", at positions 1463 to 1679 of the family's 2925-position model. The record is from RNAcentral. Lineage: Bacteria; Bacillati; Bacillota; Clostridia; Eubacteriales; Clostridiaceae.
ACUGUGGGGACGCAGAGGGAUAAGAUGACCGGGGGACAGAUUCCCGGGCAAGCGCAGGAGGUGUCAGGCAGGCAAAUCCGCCUGAUAAGCCAAAGGCGUGACGCGGACCGAACUAAAGUAGGGAAGCAUCUGAUUCCAGCUGCCGAGAAAAGCCGCUAUUGUGUACCAUGUGCCCGUACCGUAAACCGACACAGGUGGAUGAGGAGAGAAU